GAUGGGGGUGGCGUGGUGACGGUGCCCGCAACGGUGUCCGGCAUCGUAGGGGCGGGUUUGAAACCCGCCCCUACCACCA
This 79-nucleotide transfer RNA is filed under the name Phycisphaerales bacterium. Its description in RNAcentral is "tRNA-Arg". Lineage: Bacteria; Pseudomonadati; Planctomycetota; Phycisphaerae; Phycisphaerales. The record is from RNAcentral.